Molecule: ribosomal RNA, 750 nt
Filed under: uncultured bacterium
Lineage: Bacteria
Description: bacterial SSU rRNA
Rfam family: Bacterial small subunit ribosomal RNA
Source: RNAcentral
GCCAAUCAUGCAGUCGAGCGAGCUUGCCUAGAUGAUUUUAGUGCUUGCACUAAAUGAAACUAGAUACAAGCGAGCGGCUGACGGGUGAGUAACACGUGGGUAACCUGCCCAAGAGACUGGGAUAACACCUGGAAACAGAUGCUAAUACCGGAUAACAACACUAGACGCAUGUCUAGAGUUUGAAAGAUGGUUCUGCUAUCACUCUUGGAUGGACCUGCGGUGCAUUAGCUAGUUGGUAAGGUAACGGCUUACCAAGGCAAUGAUGCAUAGCCGAGUUGAGAGACUGAUCGGCCACAUUGGGACUGAGACACGGCCCAAACUCCUACGGGAGGCAGCAGUAGGGAAUCUUCCACAAUGGACGAAAGUCUGAUGGAGCAACGCCGCGUGAGUGAAGAAGGGUUUCGGCUCGUAAAGCUCUGUUGGUAGUGAAGAAAGAUAGAGGUAGUAACUGGCCUUUAUUUGACGGUAAUUACUUAGAAAGUCACGGCUAACUACGUGCCAGCAGCCGCGGUAAUACGUAGGUGGCAAGCGUUGUCCGGAUUUAUUGGGCGUAAAGCGAGUGCAGGCGGUUCAAUAAGUCUGAUGUGAAAGCCUUCGGCUCAACCGGAGAAUUGCAUCAGAAACUGUUGAACUUGAGUGCAGAAGAGGAGAGUGGAACUCCAUGUGUAGCGGUGGAAUGCGUAGAUAUAUGGAAGAACACCAGUGGCGAAGGCGGCUCUCUGGUCUGCAACUGACGCUGAGGCUCGAAAG